Molecule: long non-coding RNA, 920 nt
Filed under: Notechis scutatus (mainland tiger snake)
Lineage: Eukaryota; Metazoa; Chordata; Lepidosauria; Squamata; Elapidae
Description: lncRNA (ENSNSUG00000008316.1)
Source: RNAcentral
CUGUGACGGUGUUCACCAGGCCCUCGAAAACUGACUCUCUUAACCCCCCCCCCUCCAACUCCUCUUCGGGAACCCCAGUUGUUGUUGUUUUUUCCCCGCGCGCCACGCACCGUCUCUCUCCCUUCCUCCCCGCCGUAGGGCGGUGGCGGUUGAACCACCCCUUGAGGUGUAUGAACAACGCCGCCGCCGGAGGCCGCUGUUCGGGCGGGGGGGCGCUUCCCCUCCAGCCUCAGCCCCCGUGGGGCGGCCCAGGCUUGCAGCACGGAGCUGCUUCUCUCAGUUUCGCUCCGAUUUUUCGACGCCCCGCUUCUCUCCCUACUGCUGCCCAGCAGGGAACGGAGGGAGAGGCGUGUGCCGGGCGUUGCGGCGGCGGCUCCUUCUCGGCAUGUCAGCGGCUGUCCCGCCGCCACCAUCUCGGGGUGAGGAGAAGAGGAACGGUGGUGGGGCCUGGUUCCUGGAAGAGAACCAUCGGGAACCGUUCCUGCUUCCUUCCGGCCAAGUAACUGAAGCUUCCCGGGAAAGUGGCUCCGCCGAGGGUUUGCAGUUGCAACGACAGCAAGAGGACGACGAGGACAACGACAAGUGGCCACGGGGGAGGCCGCAGCAGUGUCAGGUGGUCGAGGCACCGCCGCCUAAAGAGAAUCCUUGGACGCGUUGGAAGCCUCCCCCCAACUGCGGUAGUAGUUUAUCUCCUUCCAACGCUUCUUCGGGCGGCGAGUUCACUUCGCAGGAUCCGGAACUGCAGUGUUCUACUAAAGUCAUAAAAGCAGGAAAGUUGAAGAUAAAGAAACCCAGUAAGGCAGAUUAUUUCAAUGAUGCAACAAACUGGCCAACACCAAGUGAAAUUGCAAGUUCUGAGGUAAGUUCAUGGGGGGGGGGGGGAAUGCACCACAGGUUUAGUUUUCUGUGUCAUUAUAGAA